Molecule: long non-coding RNA, 6465 nt
Organism: Humulus lupulus (European hop)
Lineage: Eukaryota; Viridiplantae; Streptophyta; Magnoliopsida; Rosales; Cannabaceae
Exons: 3
Source: RefSeq, a predicted model, not a curated record
UUCUAUCAUUUCGUCUCCAUUUGGUUUGUGACGGUUGUUUAUUUGCAUUUAUUGCUCAAAAUCCUCUUUCUAUCAGCAUUAAACUUUAUUUUCCCUUCCUUCCUUGUCCUAAUAAAUUAUCUGCAGGACCCUUACAUCUUUGUUUUUCUUUACUCCUCUUAUUUAUUUAAUCAAUUUUCCCAUCUGCAUUAAUUCUUCUUUCUUUUCUUUCUCUCCCUACUUGAGUUUAUGCAUUCUCCUCUCAUCCAUGCUCCUCUCUUCCUCUCUCUUUCUUAGUUCUUAUUCUUCUUGCACAUCGUCGCUGUUUCAUUUCUAUUCGGAUUUCAUAAUGAUCAUUAAACCUAGAUUUGGACAAUUAGCUAAUAGAUUUGCAUCUGAGUUGUUAUUAUUGCAUUUUCUAUGUCAAGAUCUCGGCAACACGUAUGUCUCUUACCCUUGCAUAUACAGUUUGUGAUUUUUCCUAGAGUCUCUCAUUUUACACAUAUUUGGUUGUAGUUUGUUCUUUCCGUAUUUGGUUGUUGUUUUCUCUUUUCUGGGUUGCCUAAUGUCUGUCCCAUCUGAAAUGUAAAAUUUCUUAAGCAAUCUGACUAAUACCUUAACCCUAGAACAAGAAGAGGAUACAAUCCAUGCCCUUGUAGAAGCCCCUAAUCGUUCCUCAACCAACAGUGACCCUAUUUACCUUAUUUUUUGACUCUUGACCAUUAGGUCCUUCAAAAAAGAGCCCAUGAAAAAUAGACUUGUAGAGGUUUCGCCUACCCAUUUCCCAGCUGCUAUUACUAUCCAUGCUCCUGGUAUAUUCCUAGCUCAAUUUGGCUGUGAGGGAGAUAGGCAGAGAGUUCUGGAGGGUCAUCCAUGGCAUUUUGACUAAAGUGACAUUGUAAUGGGACACCCUGAUAGUGUCUCUACUCAUGACCCUUCAAAACUGUAUUUCACCCAUUUUUGGAAUCAAGUCUAUCAAAUCCCUUUUGGCCGAAGUUUCCUGAGCUUGCCCAAUUAAUCUGGGCCUUUCUUUUGACUUAGGGUUCUAGUUGAUGUUCAUAAGCCUAUCAAAAGGAGCAUGUAUGUUACCUUUCCCACACUAUAGGGAGUCAAGCGUCUGGAGUUAAAGUAUGAGCGGUUACCCAAUUUUUGUUAUUACUAUGGUAUGUUGGAUCAUACCUACUCCUACUAUGUGAAGUACCUCCAGAGGUGUGAUGAUACCUUGAGUACCCCUGCUCUCUCUUACACUUCGGACCUUAGAGCUCAUGUUGCCUCUCUAUACAAGCUAGUCAUGUUCCAUGUUCCUCUACCCCCUACUAUAGUCGAAGUUUGGUCCUCCUCCACUGGCCAAACCCAAUCAGCUAGCCAAGAUGCACUCCUCCAUUAUGCAAUCAAUUAUCCCGUUAACUCUGCUCCCAUUUUACCAUUUACCUCCUCUCUUAUCAACCCUUCAUUUCGUACUAACCCUAUUCUUGUUAUGGUUCCAUCCCCCAUCAAUACUAACCUUUCCCCUGAAGUCUCCCUUGGUAAUGCCCCUGUUCUCCCUGCCAUUGUUGUUGAUUCACUUGAUUCUGCCUCAUUGCCUGUUUCUGAGGCUCUACUUGUCACUCAGAGCACUACUAGUGAUCGUGGUAAGUAAGUUUCUGGCACCAAGCGUCCCUUUUUCCCUCAGGAAGUUGUUGUGGGCGGCAGUGUUCGCUCCACUCUCAAGAGAGCCUGUGCCAUGGCCACUGAUGUCCCAUUUGAUCCCACUCUUUUCUAAGAUGAACAAAAAUGAGUCUCAUCAGUUGGAAUGCUUGAGGUUUGGGAAGUCCUCGAGCAUUUCGUAAUCUAUCUUUCUUGGUCAAGCAGCACAAGCUGUUUCUUUUGUUUAUUAUAGAAACCAAACUAUGUACAGGUUCUGUAAAUAGGUCUAGAACUUUGCUGCAUUUUGAUUGUGGGUUUGAAAUCCCCAGGAAAAAUUUGAGAGGAGGGUUGAUGCUUUUGUGUAAAAAAAGAUGUUAAUGUUUCCAUUUUAUCUUUCACUAUGAAUCACAGACUGUUUUGUAACUCUUGAUGGUCAUUGAACUUUUCGUUUCUCCGGUUUCUGUGGUUCUCCCUUUUAUUCUAAUCGUUCCUAUACUUGGCUUUACUUUCUCGUUUGUAUGAUACUGCCUAACCAUGGGCAAUUUUAAUGCUUUUAUUUGUUCUUCUGAUAAAUACAAUGUUUCUUCUUCUUCCACUAAUUCUAUGCACGACUUUAAUGAUUUUAUUAAUAUUUUCAAUAUGUUUCCUUUGCCCUUUGCCUUUUGUUGGUUUCAAGUACACUUGGAUUAACAACAAAACUUUUGAAAGACUUGAUUGGGGUUGUGUGUAUUGUCGUGAAUUUGAUAUUAAGAUUAAGUGUAACGACCCGAAUUUGCUAAUCAGCCUUGAUUAGUUGAAAAUAAAUAUUUGGAGAUAUAUUUGAGGAUAGAAUGUCUAGGCGGGAAUAUUGGAGAAAUUUACCAUUUUGCCCUCGGGACGUUUUGGUACCUCGAGCCUUGAGGUAACUCUUUAGACUUAAGUCAAAUAAAACAAAAAGGGGAAACAUUUAGAAGCUAUAGAAACCGACCUACUCUCUUUUCUUUCAGCUAAGGAUAGUUUUAUCUCUUCCUUCCUCAUUCACUCUCUAAGAUAAACACAAGGAAAACUAAGGGAAUCAACUUGAAGGUCUAGGGGAAUUCAGCUGUGAUAUUAUAGGAGCUUGAAGCUUAAGGCUUGAGGAUCAACUACAGGGAUUGAAUUCAGCAAGGUAAGCUUUAAUUAUUGGGAUUAUGUUGAGAAUUGUUACUGGUUUGCUAGAAUAUGCAUGGUAGUUAAGUUUGACAUGUUCUUGAGUAUCUUAGUUGGGUUUUGGAGCAGGUUUUGAUGGGGUUUUAGUGUUGAUAUUGAGCUGGUAUGUAUGUGUUAAAUAUCUGGGUUUGAUAGGUGAGUUUUGGGUGAAUUAGCUUGAGGAAAGGUGUGGAAAAAUGGUGGAAAAUCUGGGUUCGGAGGUGAGAGUCGCGGCCCUAGGAGGGGUGCGCCGCGGCCCGUGUGCACGCGCGACCAUGGGAGGCCGAGAAGGUUCAUGCGCGCCGCGGCGCUUAGUGGGCGCGUUGCGGCCCGGGUGGGGAUCAGUGUGGUGCUAGCCUCUGUUUUGAGGCUAGUCGCGUCUCUUGAGGGUGGGGCUGCGACCCUUAGUGCCAGUUUGCAUUUUUAAGGGUGUUUAGGCUUGGGAAUUCAAUGGUUAAGGCUCGGGAUGGAUUUUAUCACCUAGAUUGAUAGAAUUCAAGGUUCCGGAGGUUAGGGUUAUGGCUCGAAGUUGUUCAUUGGAUUAGAACUUGAUGACUGGAUAUUGGUAAUGUGUUGUGACUAGGGAUUUCGGCGAGGCUAGUUAGAGGACUGUGCUUGGGACAUCGGUGCUCGGAGAGCUCGGGACUCAGGUAAGAAAACCCAUGUUCCCAUAAGAGCUUAUGUGCAGGGCUGAACCCAAUGUGUUUAAGUGGAUUGAUAUGCAGGGCUAAGCCCAAUGUGUUUGAACGGAUUGAUAUGCAGGGCCGAGCCCAAUAUGUUAGAACUGCUUAGCGUAGCUCUUUAUCUGUUUAUGCUAGAAUUCUGUACUUGCUGUUAUGUCAUGUAUGAUAUUAUGUGAGUGAUCGGCAAGAGCCGGGAACGGUGUAGACCGAGGACGGCGAGGGGCUGGGAACGACGUCAGGCACGUUGAGUGCAAGGCCGAGAACGGCAAGGGGCCGGGAGCAGUGUUGAGCACGUGGGGUGCGAGUUGCCAGGGCUAGUCCCUAGAAGGAUACCUGGGAUAUCCUUACGACGUGGUCUGCGAAUCCAGGUCGUAUGUGUUUAGCCAAUUGGUGGCCUAUUUAUAUGCCUGAUAUAUGUGUUGCAUAUGUUAUCUGUUUGUGGGUUUUCUUGCUGGGCUUCGGCUCACAGAUGCUCUGUGGUGCAGGUAAGGGUAAAGAGAAGAUUAACCAACUAUGAGUAUAGCAGGCGUGGGGCGGCGUGUACAUGUUUGGCCAGCCUGGCUGCCACGGCCAGAGGAUUUUGGGAGAUGCUUGUAAAUAAACUCUGAUUUUGUCGUCUAGUCGACUUGGUUUAAUUAAUAUGUUGUAAACAUUUCUAAACUGUAUUUUGGGAUCCCGAGUGUAAACCUUUUAUGAUUUUCUAUGGAAAUUAUUAUUUCUAAAGUGUUUCCUCUGUUUAUGGCUUAAUUACACUGUUUGAUCUAAAACCUCGAUUAGCGAGUUGAGAGCACGUUUUUAAACUCACUUAGUAACGACUCUAAGAAAGUAGGGCGUUACACUAAGUGUCUUGACUAUAGUGUUUGGAGGGCCUAAUUGGGAUUUUAUAAGCGGGUAAUUGAAUAUAAGUGUGGUGAUGUGAUAUAAAUAAAAUAUGUGGUAAUGUGAUUAGACAUGCAUGUCGUGUGUAUUAAAUAUGUAUGUGGACUCAUUUCUAUAAAUAGUGGUGUGUGUAUUUUUGGCACGUUGAGGGCAUAAAUAUAAUUAUGCUUGUAUUGUGAGUAAGACUCCAAUGUUAUGGGAUAUAUUUGAGACGUGUGGUUCGAGACGAUCCUAGGGAGCAGAUUAGCGGAAUAGUCACAACGGGGUUAGAUACCUGGCUUGGGGUGGGCCUAGGGGUAUUUUGAGAACUUGGCAUGUGUCUGGGGUUUACCGGGUAACAGAUAAUAAUUUGGGUAUGUCGGGAUUAAAUGAGAAUUUAUAGGAUUACUUGAGGAUUUGCGGGAAACGUGACAAAUGAUGAUUUUGCCCUUGGGGCCAUUAAAGGAUAAGGUUAAGUCUAAAGGGCAUUUUGGACUUUUCAAUUAGGGGAUAGACUUGGAUAGCCUUGGAUACUAGAACCCGCCAGAAUUUUGGAGGAACAUACUCUCUUUCUCCCUCAGGCUUAUCUCUCUUAGCUCUCUCACUCUCUUUAGUAUGCUUGGAGGUGUUGAUGAAUUCUGGAGGAAUUUAGCUAAGGAAUUGUAAAAUUGGAGGCUUAAAGUGCUUGGGAAUUAGCUCAGGCCGAAAUUAUCACUGAGGUCUUACCGCUUAGGCUCAUGAUUAGGAAUCGUGCUCGGGAUCGCUUUGGGUUGUCAGCUCAGGAUACCAGGUAAGAGAACUGCUUGUACCCGUAGAGCUAUGUGAUGUAUAACGUUGUAUGUAUUGUUCAUAUUUGUUAUGUCAUACAUGUGAUUAUGGUUGAUCGGCAAGAUCCGGAAGCGGCAAGGGGCCAAGAACGGCGUUAAGCAUGUUGAAUGCAAGCCGCCAGGGCGAGACCCUCAAGGGUGCUGUACACACCCAUUCGGCUGGGACCGCAGACUUAAUACCUGGUAACGUACCCCGAUCGGCAGAGGCUGGUGCUUUGGUAUUCUGUUGUUGUAGUAUUGAGUUGUCGUGUUAUUGUGUUAUGAUACUGCUAUAUUAUAGUAUUGUUGUACUAUUAGGUUGUUAUGCCAUUGUGUUAUUGAGCUAUUCUACUGCGGUUAUGUUAUGCAUUUCAAUGAAAACAUGUAAUUAUUUGCUAUCUAUGAUUAAGUAUGUAUUUGUUGAAGUAUGUUUUUGUAUGCCAUGCUUGAAGUUCUCUUGCUGGGCCUCGGCUCAUGGGUGUUUUGUGGUGCAAGUAAGAGCAAGGAAAAAUGUCAAACAACCAUGAGUUGGAGGGCAUGGAGUGGUGUGUACAUGUUUGGCCUACCUGUCCACCACGGCUAGGGUUGUUUUAAGGAACACGUGGUAAAUGUUCGCUUUUGUCGCUUAGGUCGACUGUACCAAACCUUUGGAUUGUAAAUGCAUUUUGAAACAGUAUUUUGGGAUCCCAAUGUAAAAUUUUUAUCAGUUUUAAUGAAUGACCAACUCUUUUUAUCUAAUGUUCAUUAAAUGAGUCCUUACUUUGGUUUAAUCACAUUUUUUAAUCUAAAAUUUCGAUUAACGAGCUAAUGGCACAUUUAUAAAUCAUAUGGUAACGACUCUAAGGAAGUAGGGUGUUAUAACUUGGUAUCAGAGCGUCCCAAAGUUUAUGGUUCUUGGAGAUUGACCGAACAUGUGUGCUCGUUGCCAGAGACAAGCUCAAGUCAAGUCUAGGUGAUUCUAAGGAAACAUUGGAAGGUUGUGAAGAAAAUAGAAGAUCGGUUCAGUUUCUUGAUAAUACUCUGCGAUAGAGAGGAUACAAGAGUUAGAGAAACUGAAUGAAUAACUAUUUCAUUCCGCUGCGUAUACUGUAAGAGCAAGGAAAAAGGUCAAACAACCAUGAGUUGGAGGGCAUGGAGCGGUGUGCACAUGUUUGGCCUACCUGGCCGCCACAGCUAGGGUUGUUUUAAGGAGCACGUGGUAAAUGUUCGCUUUUGUCGCUUAGGUCGAUUGUACCAAACCUGUUGAUUGUAAAUGCAUUUUGAAAUAGUAUUUUGGGAUCCCAAUGUAAUAUUUUUACGAGUUUUAAUGAAUGAUGAACUCUUUUUAUCUAAUGUUCAUUAAAUGA